AAAUGACCCUAUAUGGGCACACCCUAAAGAACGUUUUGCAAAAUGCUCACAAGGCUUUCCUCAGUCCUUUAUGGACCCUUCCCAGACUUGAGGAUCAAUACCACGAGGAGAGGAUGUGCCUUUCCCACAGCGACCAUGCUGGUUUUUUUCCUCUGUGCAGUGUUGGUGCCCCCAUCCAGCUCAAGACGGAGAACAGCAGCCCGGUGAAGAAGUGAGGAAACCAAGCAAGUACUCCGCCUUCAUCUAUGUGUGGAAUUAAGUAUCAUGGAUAACGGGACUCUUUCAGGGACGUUAUUUAUUUCCUCCUUGUGUUUAUCAUUAUUCGAUCAUUUUCAAUUUUGAUUUUAAUCCAAAACCCUAGACCUAGUCCAAAAUCAAAGUGACAACUGGGUAUUGUUAGGGUUUAACAGCUAAGAGUUGAUCAAAUAUAUUUACUCAAGGAAAAAAAUUAGAGAGAUAACUCUUCAUGUGGUGAAACGUAAUCAGUUAACCUAGAAUUAUACGUUACUACCUACAGUCUCAUCAGCAUCAUUUCCUCACCAACAGAUCUGCAACGACUUAUGAAAAAUGGGUCAUUAAUAGUACUCCCUUGCACAAUACCAAAUUCUAAGUACCACCACACCUACAUAAAUGAGGCUUCAUUCUCUUUACUCCUUUAGCAAAUAUAAUAUUGUCAUAUACCCUCAAUGUGGAAACAGAACAUCAAACUAGUUUAGAACUAAAAAACGGGGUGUAUCUGUACGUAUGUGUGUUUGUGAGCACCAGGGCCCAUACUGUUCUUUUCUUCUUUAGAUGUCAUAGAGCUACCUGCAAAGAGCUUUGGGGACUUACUUUUUCAUUUUGUGGAAGUGUAAGUUCAAAAAGAAUAAGUGACUUCCCUUUAGUUUUAAAAAUUUAUUCUCAAGAAAUUCCCAGGAAUUUUCUGGUCCUGUUCAUUAAACAACCCUGAAUUUUACAACAUCAUCGUUUUGGUUGGUCAUAUGGUUGCGAGGAGGUGGUUAACUGGCUAUUCGUGACCUUUUAUUACAGACUCAUUGAAGAAAAUUAGGAAAAAAUAACUAUUUUCAGAUCAUAGUAGGUUCCAGAAAACCCAUAUUACAAUUAGAGGAAGCAGUUGUUGGCUGUAUUAGAAUUUGUUCCUCAUGGGCGCCUGGGUGGUUUAGCUCAGUAGGGAGCCUGCUUCCCUUCCUCACUCUCUGCCUGCCUCUCUGUCUACUUGUGAUCUCUCUCGGUCAAAUAAAUAAAUAAAAUCUUGAAAAAAAAAAAAAAGA
This 1271-nucleotide long non-coding RNA is filed under the name Neogale vison (American mink). Its description in RNAcentral is "Neovison vison (American mink) lncRNA (ENSNVIG00000016248.1)". Lineage: Eukaryota; Metazoa; Chordata; Mammalia; Carnivora; Mustelidae. The record is from RNAcentral.